Hyla sarda is the source of this 452-nucleotide long non-coding RNA. RefSeq lists it as uncharacterized. NCBI's taxonomy places the organism in Eukaryota, Metazoa, Chordata, Amphibia, Anura, Hylidae. The transcript has 4 exons. The record is from RefSeq and is a predicted model, not a curated record.
AGAUCUUCAGGAACCUAGGAAAGCUGAGUGGCUUCCAUAUUGCACAUCACAUAGGUUUGCUCUAUAUAUACCCAAGACAUCCAUCAAUAAAAAAAAUCUUCCCGGGAUCCCAGCGUCGGCCUCUUCCAUGGCGGCUCCAGCACCGGGACGCAUUGCGAAUGAAUGUAAUAUUCCGCUAAGAGCUCAAGGCCAUAAAUGUCAAUCACAUGCCACCGCUCGGCCAUGCAAUUCAAUCCAUACAAAUUAAGAAUCGUCCUAGGAGAGCUAUCCUUGAAGAGAAGCUUCUUCAGCUAAUAUUUCAUCCUCCUGGAGAUCGUCCUUGAUGGAAGAUAACAGCAAGACACUUCCCCCAGUCUUUCCAAGGAAAGUGGAAAAGACUCGAAAUAUGAUUCCCGAGCAAAGAGAAAAUAAAAAACAUGUGAUUUAUCGGAGCAGGAGUGUGCGUAUGGCGA